This 24-nucleotide non-coding RNA is filed under the name Arabidopsis thaliana (thale cress). Lineage: Eukaryota; Viridiplantae; Streptophyta; Magnoliopsida; Brassicales; Brassicaceae. The record is from RNAcentral.
UUAUUUACAAUGGCUGCCACAUCU